AUCUUGUCAAGUCGACUAUUAGACAAUAAAAAGCUGUAAAACUGACUAUAAAUUAAAACCACGAGGGACGGACGAUCAAGCUGCUAGCUCAUAAUUUAAGCAUUAGCAUCAAACGACUAUAAAUUAAAAUCACAAAGCACAGACAAUCAAGCUACUAAGCUCAUAAUUUAAAGCAGUGGCAUCAAACUUGUGCACAAUGCUUUCAUGUUCCAAAAUUGUAGAUAUUACACAAUUUUACAGGUUUCUAGAGACCGAAAUCACUUUUCCAUAAUAUACACUCACCGGGCACAACAUA
Molecule: long non-coding RNA, 295 nt
Filed under: Daucus carota (carrot)
Lineage: Eukaryota; Viridiplantae; Streptophyta; Magnoliopsida; Apiales; Apiaceae
Description: long non-coding RNA (DCAR_LNC001998)
Source: RNAcentral